UACGUAGGGGGCGAGCGUUGUCCGGAUUUAUUGGGCGUAAAGAGCUCGUAGGCGGCUUGUCAAGUCGGGUGUGAAACCUCCAGGCUCAACCUGGAGAUGCCACCCGAGACUGUCAUGGCUAGAGUCCGGUAGGGGACCAUGGAAUUCCUGGUGUAGCGGUGGAAUGCGCAGAUAUCAGGAGGAACACCGAUGGCGAAGGCAGGUCACUGGGCCGCAACUGACGCUGAGGAGCGAAAGCAUGGGGAGCGAACAGG
Molecule: ribosomal RNA, 254 nt
Filed under: uncultured bacterium
Lineage: Bacteria
Description: partial 16S ribosomal RNA
Rfam family: Bacterial small subunit ribosomal RNA
Source: RNAcentral